CCUACGGGGGGCAGCAGUCGAGAAUUUUUCUCAAUGGGGGAAACCCUGAAGGAGCGACGCCGCGUGGAGGAUGAAGGUCUUCGGAUUGUAAACUCCUGUCAUUUGGGAACUAGUACCAGAAGAGGAAGAGACGGCUAACUCUGUGCCAGCAGCCGCGGUAAUACAGAGGUCUCAAGCGUUGUUCGGAUUCAUUGGGCGUAAAGGGUGCGUAGGUGGCGGGGCAAGUCAGGUGUGAAAUCUCGGGGCUCAACCCCGAAACUGCACUUGAUACUGCCUUGCUCGAGUACUGGAGAGGAGAUUGGAAUUUACGGUGUAGCAGUGAAAUGCGUAGAUAUCGUAAGGAAGACCAGUGGCGAAGGCGAAUCUCUGGACAGUACUGACACUGAGGCACGAAGGCCAGGGGAGCAAACGGGAUUAGAUACCCCAGUAGUC
RNAcentral lists this ribosomal RNA (432 nucleotides) under uncultured bacterium. Its description in RNAcentral is "partial 16S ribosomal RNA". It matches the Rfam family "Bacterial small subunit ribosomal RNA", at positions 338 to 795 of the family's 1533-position model. The record is from RNAcentral.